Molecule: long non-coding RNA, 2340 nt
Filed under: Sus scrofa (pig)
Lineage: Eukaryota; Metazoa; Chordata; Mammalia; Artiodactyla; Suidae
Description: lncRNA (ENSSSCG00015073083.1)
Source: RNAcentral
ACUGGGAUGGAUGCAAGAAGAGGAAAGAGUUUGAUUAGGACAAUGGAGAAGAUGAAGUAAAGGAACAACACAAACCCAGAGCUGAAAGGGUAGAGUGUGGGGCUCUUCCAGAAGCAGAGGAGGUCUGAAUGACACAUCUCUAAGUUCAAAAUCGAAGCUCAGAGAUGUAGACAAUGAGCUAAGGAAUCUGUUACACCGAUAUUUUUCAGAAUCAUAGACUUAUCUCAUAUUAAUCAUUUUAUUGUUGCUAUUAAGCUGUACAUAAACCUUGAAUUUUCAGUUGAAAAGGAUUUCUAUUCAGCUCAGACCUCAAAGAGCUUUUAUUUCUCCUCCACAUAUAGCAGGUGAGGGAUUUCCUGUUCAGGGCUGGAGAAUAAGUGACACAGCUCUUUCUUUUCUCUUCUUUUCUUCUUUUCUUUUCAAGAAGUUGAACAGGUUCCAUAAGAAGGUAGUGAACAUAGUGAUACCUGAUUUGUAUGAUUUUACUUGAAUGCAGAAAUCAGAGUCAUAAUUUUCACAGUGCAACCACCUCAUUUUACAGAAGAGAGAAUUUCGAUUCUCUACUCCAAAUUCCACGUAUAGCGACGUUCAAGGAAUGUGGGGCAGAGGGCUCCAUGGCUCAUCCCCAGAGAGAUGAGUCAUCCCCAUAGUCAUCCACUACGAUGACCAUUGUCUAACAACAUGAGUUUGAGUGCCAGGCGUGCCAAUGGAUGAGGACACUGAGAUAUUACCAGUAUUGUUUCCUGGGCUUCUAACUUCUGGCUUCUCCCCUGCAAAAUGAUAACAAGGGGUGAGGCAGCAACUCAGAGACUGAAAUCAGGAGUUCACUUCCAGGCUCCGCUUUCAAGCAUUUUGUGCCAAAUCUCCAGAGAGUCCUUCCCCCUUGAAAUCAUUUGCACAGCACUUCAUGUGUGCAUUCCUCAAGGGAGAUGGGCAGAUUCUUAUAUUGCCAGUCUCUUCCAGCACUGUCCAACAGGAAUAAAUGUGAGUCAAUUCAGGCCACAACUUUAAAAUGUUUUGGCUUUUUGGAGAGGAGGGAGGGAGUGGGAUGAACUGGGAGUUUGGGGUUCAUAGAUGCAAAGUAUAACAUUUAGAAUGGGUAGGCAAUGAUAUCCUGCUGUACAGCACAGGGAACUCUAUCCAAUCACUUGUGAUAGAACAUGAUGGAAGACAGUAUGAGAAGAAAGUAUAUGUGUGUGUAUGGCUGCAUCUCUUUGCUAUACAGCAGAAUUUGACAGAACAUUGUAAAUCAACUAUAAUUAAAAAAAAAUUAGGAAUUCCCACUGUAGAUCAGCACAAACAAACCUGACUGGUAUCCUUGAGGAUACAGGUUUGAUCCAUGGCCUUGCACAGUGGGUUAAGAUUCCAGUGUUGCUGCAAGCUGUGGUAUAGGUCAUUGAUGUAGCUCAAGUCUGGCAUUGCUGUGGCAUACACUGGCAGCUGCAGCUCCGAUUUGACCCCUAGCCUGGGAACUUCCAUAUGCCAUGGGUAUGAUCCUAAAAUGAAUAAAGAUAAUUUAAAAAUUAAAUGUUUUGUGAGUUCCUGUCAUGGCUCAGUGGUUAAUGAAUCUGACUAGGAACCAUGAGGUUGCGGGUUUGAUCCUUGGCCUUGCUCAGUGGGUUAAGGAUCUGGCAUUCCUGUGAGCUGUGGUGUAGAUCGCAGACUCGGCUUGGAUCCCACGUUGCUGUGGCUCUGGCGUAGGCCGGAGGCUACAGUUCCAAUUUGACCCCUAGCCUGGGAACCUCCACACGCCGCGGAAGGGGCCCUAAAAAAGGCAAAAAGACAGUAAAAAAACCUAAAUGUUUUGGCUUCUGCAUUAAAAAGGGGGACAAAGACAAUUAAAAUUAAUAUUAGGACUAUUUUUACUUAGUCCAAGAUAGCCAUAAUACCAUUGCAACAAGCAGUCAAUAUGAAAAUAGUUAAGGAGAUAGUCCUUUUUUUUUUUUUUGCUUCUGUCUUCAAAAUAUAGUUUGUGUUGUAUACAUACAGGCUCGUCUCAGCUUCAACUCUCGGACUAACCACAUGUCAAGGGCUCAAUAGCCACAUGUGACUAAUGGCUGGUAGAUUGAGCAGCUCAGAUUCUCCUCCAAAUGCUGGAGAAAUGCUGAGCAGGAUAUCCUUUCAAAAGGUCCCUUCGGGAGUUCCCAUUGUUUCUUGGUGGUUAACGAAUCCGACUAGGGACCAUGAGGUUGCAGGUUCAAUCCCUGGCCCUGUGGUGUAGGUCGCAGACGCGGCUCGGAUCCCACAUUGCUGUGGCUCUGGCGUAGGCCGGAGGCUACAUCUCAGAUUAGACCCCUAGCCUGGGAACUUCCACAUGCCUCAGGAGUGGCCCUAGAAAAG